CCUACGGGGGGCUGCAGUCGAGAAUUUUUCACAAUGGGGGAAACCCUGAUGGAGCGACGCCGCGUGGGGGAUGAAGGGCUUCGGCUCGUAAACCCCUGUCAUUCGCGAAUAAUUGUUACAGUUGAACAGGCUGUGACUUGAUAGUAGCGGAAGAGGAAGGGACGGCUAACUCUGUGCCAGCAGCCGCGGUAAUACAGAGGUCCCAAGCGUUGUUCGGAUUUACUGGGCGUAAAGGGUGCGUAGGCGGUGAGGAAAGUUCGGGGUGAAAUCUCCAGGCUCAACUUGGAAACUGCCCUGAAUACUUCCUCGCUAGAGGGUCGCAGAGGAGAUUGGAAUUCUCGGUGUAGCAGUGAAAUGCGUAGAUAUCGAGAGGAACAUCAGUGGCGAAAGCGAAUCUCUGGGCGACAUCUGACGCUGAGGCACGAAAGCCAGGGGAGCAAACGGGCUUAGAUACCCGAGUAGUC
Molecule: ribosomal RNA, 464 nt
Filed under: uncultured Verrucomicrobiota bacterium
Lineage: Bacteria; Pseudomonadati; Verrucomicrobiota
Description: bacterial SSU rRNA
Rfam family: Bacterial small subunit ribosomal RNA
Source: RNAcentral